This 619-nucleotide ribosomal RNA is filed under the name uncultured bacterium. Its description in RNAcentral is "bacterial SSU rRNA". The stretch from base 1 to 517 matches the Rfam family "Bacterial small subunit ribosomal RNA", at positions 338 to 873 of the family's 1533-position model. The record is from RNAcentral.
CCUACGGGAGGCAGCAGUAGGGAAUCUUGCGCAAUGGGCGAAAGCCUGACGCAGCCAUGCCGCGUGAAUGAUGAAGGUCUUAGGAUUGUAAAAUUCUUUCACCGGGGACGAUAAUGACGGUACCCGGAGAAGAAGCCCCGGCUAACUUCGUGCCAGCAGCCGCGGUAAUACGAAGGGGGCUAGCGUUGCUCGGAAUUACUGGGCGUAAAGGGAGCGUAGGCGGAUAGUUUAGUCAGAGGUGAAAGCCCAGGGCUCAACCUUGGAACUGCCUUUGAUACUGGCUAUCUUGAGUACGGGAGAGGUGAGUGGAACUCCGAGUGUAGAGGUGAAAUUCGUAGAUAUUCGGAAGAACACCAGUGGCGAAGGCGACUCACUGGCCCGUUACUGACGCUGAGGCUCGAAAGCGUGGGGAGCAAACAGGAUUAGAUACCCUGGUAGUCCACGCUGUAAACGAUGAGUGCUAGUUGUCGGCAUGCAUGCAUGUCGGUGACGCAGCUAACGCAUUAAGUACACCUCCGCCGUCGGGGUAGGUACGGGUCGGCGAACGAAGUUAAAACGUUAACAAACUAGAAGUUAGUACGGCGUGAGACGUCGCCGACGGACGACGACGAGGGAGAGG